RNAcentral lists this ribosomal RNA (239 nucleotides) under uncultured bacterium. Its description in RNAcentral is "partial 16S ribosomal RNA". It matches the Rfam family "Bacterial small subunit ribosomal RNA", at positions 92 to 334 of the family's 1533-position model. The record is from RNAcentral.
UUAGUGGCGAACGGGUGAGUAACAUAUCGGAACGUACCCAGUAAUGGGGGAUAACUAGUCGAAAGACUGGCUAAUACCGCAUACGCCCUGAGGGGGAAAGCGGGGGAUCGAAAGACCUCGUGUUAUUGGAGCGGCCGAUAUCUGAUUAGCUAGUUGGUGGGGUAAAGGCCUACCAAGGCGACGAUCAGUAGCUGGUCUGAGAGGACGACCAGCCACACUGGAACUGAGACACGAUCCAG